GACGAACGCUGGCGGCGUGCUUAACACAUGCAAGUCGAACGGAGAGGCCUCUUUCGGGGGGUACUCGAGUGGCGAACGGGUGAGUAACACGUGAGUAACCUGCCCUUGACUUUGGGAUAACUUCAGGAAACUGGGGCUAAUACCGGAUAGGAGCUCCUGCUGCAUGGUGGGGGUUGGAAAGUUUCGGCGGUUGGGGAUGGACUCGCGGCUUAUCAGCUUGUUGGUGGGGUAGUGGCUUACCAAGGCUUUGACGGGUAGCCGACCUGAGAGGGUGACCGGCCACGUUGGGACUGAGAUACGGCCCAGACUCCUACGGGAGGCAGCAGUGGGGAAUAUUGCACAAUGGGUGGAAGCCUGAUGCAGCAACGCCGUGUGCGGGAUGACGGCCUUCGGGUUGUAAACCGCUUUCGCUCAUGACGAAGCUUUGUGUGACGGUAGUGGGUAAAGAAGCACCGGCUAACUACGUG
This 467-nucleotide ribosomal RNA is filed under the name uncultured bacterium. RNAcentral's name for it is "partial 16S ribosomal RNA". It matches the Rfam family "Bacterial small subunit ribosomal RNA", at positions 28 to 507 of the family's 1533-position model. The record is from RNAcentral.